Molecule: ribosomal RNA, 408 nt
Filed under: Lepidonotopodium jouinae
Lineage: Eukaryota; Metazoa; Annelida; Polychaeta; Phyllodocida; Polynoidae
Description: SSU rRNA
Rfam family: Eukaryotic small subunit ribosomal RNA
Source: RNAcentral
AUGCAUGUGUUAGUACAGACUGUACAACGGUGAAACUGCGAAUGGCUCAUUAGAUCAGUUAUGGUUCCUUAGAUCGUACAAUCCUUACUUGGAUAACUGUGGCAAUUCUAGAGCUAAUACAUGCUAACAAUGUCUGACCAAUAUUGCUUUGGAAGGACUGCUUUUAUUAGACCAAAACCAAUCGGGUACUGAGGAAGCCGUUUGCGCGGUUCUCUAAAGUCUCGUCCCUACUUUUGGUGACUCUGGAUAACUUUGUGCUGAUCGCAUGGCCUGUGAGCCGGCGACAUAUCUUUCAAAUGUCUGACCUAUCAAAUGUCGAUGGUAAGUGACCUGCUUACCAUGUUAGUAACGGGUAACGGGGAAUCAGGGUUCGAUUCCGGAGAGGGAGCAUGAGAAACGGCUACCACA